CUUCAACGGGAGGCAUUUUCCCAUGAGAUUCAGAAGAGAACGCACACUUCCACGAACGAUAUAUCAUCGAAGAGAUAUGUGAAAAACACCUUGAGGAUUGAUUCUAAACAACGUUUACCAUGUUUCAGUCGAUAUUAUGGAGUUAAUUUGGAAAAAAGUUUGGCGUUUUGAUGACUGAAUUUUCGGGGUUUUUUUGUAGCCAAAAGUGAUGCACCAAACGGAGCGAUUUCUCCUAAACAAAUAAUCUUUCAGGAAAAACUGAACAUUUGCUAUCUAACUGAGAGUCUCCUCAUUGAAAACAUCCAAAGUUCUUCAAAGAGGACCUGAGUCCUAGGACCAUGCCCCAGGACUACCUGACAUGAUGAGUCCUUGCUGUCCCCAGUUCACCUGGCGUGCUGCUUCUCCAGUUUCAACUGUUCUGCCUUAUUAUUAUUCGACCAUGCUGGUCAUUUAUGAACAUUUGAACAUCUUGGCCAUGUUCUGUUAUAAUCUCCAUCCGGCACAGCCAGAAGAGGACUGGCCACCCCACAUAACACCCCGGCCAUCCUACAAUCUAAGCUUGAUGCACUCAAUCUCACACAAAUGAUCAAUUAACCUACCAGGUACAACCCCAAAUCCGUAAACACGGGCACCCUCAUAGAUAUCUUCCUAAGUAACUCGCCCUCCAAAUACACCUCUGCCAUUUUCAACCAAGAUCUCAGCGAUCACUGCCUCAUUGCCUGCAUCCGUAAUGGGUCAACCACACCUCAUCACUGUCAACCGCUCCCUAAAACACUUCUGCGAACAAGCCAUUCUAACUGACCUGGCCGGGGUAUCCUGGAAUGACAUUGACCUCAUCCCGUCAGUAGAGGAUGCCUGGUUAUUCUUUAAAAGUGCCUUUCUCACCAUCUUAAAUUAGCAUGCUCCAUUCAAAACAUUUAGAACUAGGAAUAGAUAUAGCCCUUGGUUCACUCCAGACCUGUCUGCCCUUGACCAGCACAAAAACAUCCUGUGGCGUUCUGCAAUAGCAUUGAAUAGCCCCCAUGAUAUGCACCUUUUCAGGGAAGUUAGGAAAGCUAAGGCUAGCUUUUUCGAACAGAAAUUUGCAUCCUGU
Long non-coding RNA from Oncorhynchus tshawytscha (Chinook salmon), 1093 nucleotides. The record is from Ensembl. NCBI's taxonomy places the organism in Eukaryota, Metazoa, Chordata, Actinopteri, Salmoniformes, Salmonidae.